Molecule: ribosomal RNA, 857 nt
Filed under: uncultured Neocallimastigales
Lineage: Eukaryota; Fungi; Neocallimastigomycota; Neocallimastigomycetes; Neocallimastigales
Description: partial large subunit ribosomal RNA
Rfam family: Eukaryotic large subunit ribosomal RNA
Source: RNAcentral
CGCAUCUGUGCAUGCAGCAUAUCAAUAAGCGGAGGAAAAGCUAUACCUACGCUUAGGAUGUUGACGAGACUGUCGAUCUCAUCUAUACAUGACUCUGUGCAUAUCAAUAAGCGGAGGAAAAGAAACUAACAAGGAUUCCCCUAGUAACGGCGAGUGAAGCGGGAAGAGCUCAAAUUUGAAAUCUUAAAGGGUUUCCCUUUACGAAUUGUAGUUUAAAGAAGUGUUUUCUGUUGAGGUUUUGGUAAAAGUUCUUUGGAAUAGGACAUCAUAGAGGGUGAGAAUCCCGUAUUUGACCUUUACUUUCAACUUUGUGAUACACUUUCAAAGAGUCGGAUUGUUUGGGAAUGCAGUCCAAAAUGGGUGGUAAAUUUCAUCUAAAGCUAAAUAUUGGCGGAGAGACCGAUAGCGAACAAGUACCGUGAGGGAAAGAUGAAAAGAACUUUGAAAAGAGAGUUAAACAGUACGUGAAAUUGUCAAAAGGGAAGCGUUUGACACCAGUGUUGUUUUUCUGAAAAUCAAUUAAAGAACUGUUUAUGCCAAGUUGUUUAGACUUUAUCAGCUAACUGUUUAGUUUUGAGCUUUUCUUUAAUGCACUUUUCAGUUAACAAGUCAACAUCAAUUUCUUUUGCUGUAAAAAAGCUUGAGGAAGGUGGCUUGAGAUUCGUCUUAAGUGUUUAUAGCCUCUUGCCUAUGCAGUCGGAGAGAUUGAGGUCUGCAGCGUAGAUCCUUCGGGGCUAAAUGCAUUUGUGCUAAGUUAUAGCAUUUUAUAAACAACUUGUUGACUAUGAUUUGUCUUGUAGCUUACUCGCUUAUGUUAUUUUACCUACGCUUAGGAUGUUGAACGCGCACAGAGUCUC